RNAcentral lists this ribosomal RNA (302 nucleotides) under uncultured bacterium. Its description in RNAcentral is "bacterial SSU rRNA". It matches the Rfam family "Bacterial small subunit ribosomal RNA", at positions 28 to 334 of the family's 1533-position model. The record is from RNAcentral.
GAUGAACGCUGGCGGCGUGCCUAAUACAUGCAAGUCGGACGCAUCACUUCGGUGAUGAGUGGCGAACGGGUGAGUAAUACAUAAGUAACCUGCCCUUUCGAGGGGGAUAACUAUUAGAAAUGAUAGCUAAGACCGCAUAGGCAUAUUCACUGCAUGGGGAAUAUGUUAAAUAUCCUAUGGGAUAGCGAGAGGAUGGACUUAUGGCGCAUUAGCUAGUUGGUGAGGUAACGGCCCACCAAGGCGACGAUGCGUAGCCGACCUGAGAGGGUGGACGGCCACACUGGGACUGAGACACGGCCCAG